This is a long non-coding RNA of Cavia porcellus (domestic guinea pig), 969 nucleotides long. RefSeq lists it as uncharacterized. The transcript is spliced from 5 exons. NCBI's taxonomy places the organism in Eukaryota, Metazoa, Chordata, Mammalia, Rodentia, Caviidae. The record is from RefSeq and is a predicted model, not a curated record.
GGAAACUGAAGGCACCAAACAUAAUGAUGGACUCCAGUUGGGUAGACUGUGACUGAAGAAGACAAUGACUUUCAGCACCUGGUUAACUGACCUUCAGAUGUGAGUCAUCCAAAGCCAGCGCCCUUCCAACCUUGAUGCAUGGCUCUGGGGUUUUCUCCAGCCUUUGCAAUUCCCUGGAGAGACUUCGUGAAGAUCUCCAGCUCACAAGACGGAGAGAAAUAUGCUGAGUCCUGCUGCUGGUGGAGUCAUCUGGGAGAUCUACACUUCCCAGUUCUCCAUGGCAACUCAAUCAGGUCAAACUGUGCUCUCCCAGUGAGACCCUGAGCCCACACUGAGCACCUAGGGCCUCGAAGGAGGAGUUUCCUCUCUUUAAAUCUGUGUGAGACAAUUGUCACUCAGAUGCUCAGGUGAAACUGCCUGUGAUUUAAAUACCACAGCCCCUAGCAGCUGCUUCCCACAGACCUGCUGUCUUAGACUGUUAAGUGAGCACUCUCCAUAUCUCCCCUUCAACUAGACUUCUCCUUCACCUGAAAUCUCACAGUAGCUUUCCAGGUCUAUUGAUAAACCAUCCUUGUAGACAGAGAAGGCUAAGAUAACGAAAGCCUAAGGAAGCAUGCAAAAAGGGGACUGACUUAGAGAGACCUGUCUUUACAGAAGUAAAGUCUUUGGAAUACUGGUGAUGAAUGAUGGGUAAUUUCUGUGUCCUGUGAAGAUGUGAAGGCUUUUUGGAAAUCCACGAGAACAGAACAGACGUGCUUGGAUUGUUGGUGUCAGUGCUCCACCCACAAAGGGGUGGAGCCAGGACAUGAUGUAAUGGCAGAAGAAGGUGUGUCUUGCCGUUUGCUGGUUCCUGCUGGCUGUCAACCACCACCAUGAACUGCCGCCCAGCCAUGCCCGCCUGUCUUGAAGCCAACUGAGUGUGGACUGAAACCUCCAAAAAACUGUAAGAAAUAAACCUUUGCUUUCCCA